Long non-coding RNA from Apis cerana (Asiatic honeybee), 909 nucleotides. RefSeq lists it as uncharacterized. The record is from RefSeq and is a predicted model, not a curated record. NCBI's taxonomy places the organism in Eukaryota, Metazoa, Arthropoda, Insecta, Hymenoptera, Apidae.
CGAAAGUUGAACGGAUAGGACGCUUCGCUGCGAGUGCGCGAUUAUUUAUUGCGUAGAAUAUUCUUUCCACUGUUAAAAGCUGAUUGCUGAGAAAGGACUUUCAAGAUGUGAUAUCGAUGCAACGCGAUCGAUGGAAUCAGUGUUUGUCGAUUCGUAAUAAAGUAUUUUUAUUUUUUAUUUUUUCGAGCACAGCUGCUCUAAUUCAAUUUAGUUGUAACAAUUAAUUCGCGAAAUUAGAAUCAGUGUUUGUUCCCGAUUAUAAAUUGAACGGACGCGUCUUUCAUUUUUAUUUUUUUUUACAAAUUUUCGUUUUCGUGACAGUGGUUUCUAGUGGUUUCAGUGGUAAAGUUAGUGCUUCUUUCAAGAACAUGAAGGCGAUCAUCCAUCACGCGAAGAGUUUUCAUCCUCCUACUUGACGACAACUUCGCGAUGAGUCAUCGAUGACGACGGGGAUUCUUCGCAUCUAACGCAAGAGGCAAAAGGAGAACAGGAUGAUACCUAGAGCCAGACAUCGGUAGCGUCGAAGGGUCAGAGGUUGCGAUGGGCAAACAUCCGGCUGACUGCGGGACGCCUCCGAUAAAUCACGGCGGAAACGCGUAACGCGCUCGAGCAGCAAGAAGACGAGGAAGGAAGACGAUUCGUCGCGUGAGCGAGCCGCGGCAGAGAGCGUACGCUUUGAAUUUGUGUGCAAGCUUUUGGGGAAGAAAUUUAUUGGCAGAGGUAAAGAACUUUCGAAGAUUAACCUGGCCUUGGACAGUUGGAUGUUUAUCUUUCAGAUAAGAUUGUUUGUAAUUUUCCUCGUUAUUGAACUGGUUUACAUUAACGAAUAUAUCUUUGUAUGAAAUUUUAUAUGAAAAGAGAUGCGCGAAUAUAAAUAUCGCAAACUCUCAAGAGAGGUUUGCGAAUUUU